RNAcentral lists this transfer RNA (79 nucleotides) under Mycoplasmopsis agassizii. RNAcentral describes it as "Mycoplasma agassizii tRNA". It matches the Rfam family "tRNA". From Rfam's summary of the family: Transfer RNA (tRNA) molecules are approximately 80 nucleotides in length. Their secondary structure includes four short double-helical elements and three loops (D, anti-codon, and T loops). The record is from Rfam by way of RNAcentral. RNAcentral also lists the same sequence under 1 other name. Lineage: Bacteria; Bacillati; Mycoplasmatota; Mycoplasmoidales; Metamycoplasmataceae.
GCCCGUGUGGUGAAAUGGCAGACACAGUUGACUCAAAAUCAACCGCGAAAGCAUGCUGGUUCGAGUCCAGUCACGGGCA